GAUGAACGCUGGCGGCGUGCCUAAUACAUGCAAGUCGAGCGAACAGACGAGGAGCUUGCUCCUCUGACGUUAGCGGCGGACGGGUGAGUAACACGUGGAUAACCUACCUAUAAGACUGGGAUAACUUCGGGAAACCGGAGCUAAUACCGGAUAAUAUUUUGAACCGCAUGGUUCAAUAGUGAAAGAUGGUUUUGCUAUCACUUAUAGAUGGAUCCGCGCCGCAUUAGCUAGUUGGUAAGGUAACGGCUUACCAAGGCAACGAUACGUAGCCGACCUGAGAGGGUGAUCGGCCACACUGGAACUGAGACACGGUCCAGACUCCUACGGGAGGCAGCAGUAGGGAAUCUUCCGCAAUGGGCGAAAGCCUGACGGAGCAACGCCGCGUGAGUGAUGAAGGUCUUCGGAUCGUAAAACUCUGUUAUUAGGGAAGAACAAAUGUGUAAGUAACUAUGCACGUCUUGACGGUACCUAAUCAGAAAGCCACGGCUAACUACGUG
RNAcentral lists this ribosomal RNA (497 nucleotides) under uncultured bacterium. Its description in RNAcentral is "partial 16S ribosomal RNA". It matches the Rfam family "Bacterial small subunit ribosomal RNA", at positions 28 to 507 of the family's 1533-position model. The record is from RNAcentral.